This 373-nucleotide ribosomal RNA is filed under the name uncultured bacterium. RNAcentral describes it as "bacterial SSU rRNA". It matches the Rfam family "Bacterial small subunit ribosomal RNA", at positions 119 to 507 of the family's 1533-position model. The record is from RNAcentral.
GAGCAAUCUGCCUUGGAGUGGGGAAUAACGGUUGGAAACAGCCGCUAAUACCGCAUGAUGCAAUUGGGAGGCAUCUCUCUGAUUGCCAAAGAUUUAUCGCUCUAAGAUGAGCUCGCGUCUGAUUAGCUAGUUGGCGGGGUAACGGCCCACCAAGGCGACGAUCAGUAGCCGGACUGAGAGGUUGGCCGGCCACAUUGGGACUGAGACACGGCCCAGACUCCUACGGGAGGCAGCAGUGGGGAAUAUUGGGCAAUGGGCGCAAGCCUGACCCAGCAACGCCGCGUGAAGGAAGAAGGCUUUCGGGUUGUAAACUUCUUUUCUUGGGGACGAAUAAAUGACGGUACCCAAGGAAUAAGCCACGGCUAACUACGUG